This is a long non-coding RNA of Anopheles gambiae (African malaria mosquito), 1619 nucleotides long. RefSeq lists it as uncharacterized. Lineage: Eukaryota; Metazoa; Arthropoda; Insecta; Diptera; Culicidae. The transcript has 2 exons. The record is from RefSeq and is a predicted model, not a curated record.
UAUGCACAUAGCAGGCCGUGAACAGCCAGCCAGCCCGCCCAUAGACGCCCGAACCGAUGGGCGGCUUUGAAAUGUUUGAAGAUUUGAUUUCACAGUUGGCGUUCGUGUUUGCUUUUGCGCCGGUUUGGCUUUGGCGCUGCGACGAAUGGGCAGGCAGCCCUUUAACGGUGUUUAAGCUUGCCCGCGUGAAAGGUUUACCGCCAACCAGCGUGAUCGUCGGUUCGUCCCGCGGGUGUGUUGAUUUGGUCUUUUCAAAAACUGCAUGUGCGUUAGAUUCGGCGCACCGGUCGCUGCUAGCGUACAGGACACGUGGAGACAUUGGCAGGGCGCACUUGCUGCGCAAACGAUAGACGUGAGAGGAGUUUGUGUGUGUGUAUGUGGGUAAUAUCAAUAUUUAGCUCACAGCACAUGCGGCGAAGGCGUUUGCACAUCGGCGAUAGAAAUGGACAAAUUUUCCCGUACAGACCGCCAGGGUGCAGGGAUUGUGCAAGUCUUGCCUGCGAGGAUAACUACCGUAACAAUGGCAAACAAUGGCCGGUUCAAAAUUUGGCCAUUGGGGAGCCAUCCAAAUAACGUUGCGAGGUUUUGUUUGAGUUUCAACGAUGGUCGAUGGUGAGUCAAGGUCGAAAGUGCUGCGUUGGUACUGUGGUCGUAGGAUUUAUAUUGAAUGAUUUACAGUCUCAAGUUACGGAACCGUUUCUAAAAUGGGUUUGUAAACAAUAUUUAAGAAACUAAGUUUGUUCUUAAAUAUAAUGACUGCCCGAAUGCACACUGCUUCCUAGUUGGGCAUAGCUGUGAGGUAAAUUGUAGCCAUUAAAAAUCGUUGAGAGAUGACAUCAGACGAAUGGCGACACUUGAUAGGGAAGUUUUGUUUUCCUGCUUUUUAGCUUCACGCCUUGCUUGGUGGUGGAAUAGGCUACAUCAAAAUUUAUUUUCCUUUUAACCUGCACAUCGGUUACUUGAGUCAAAUAUAACGAGCUUCGUGAAACAUCUGAAUUCAAAAAAUCCCUAUACUCCGGACACUUCAAUAAAGACUGGCGAAGAAUUCGGCACAGGUUCAACACCUAGCUCUGCUGUCCACACUUGCACAAACACGGAGUCUGUGAUAGGCAAAGUGAAAAACAAGUUUGAUAAUUUGCUUCUGGAAACAAGCAACUUUUCGAUCUAUUAAUAGAUUGCCAUAUCGUCUCAAUAAACACGUAUGUGGAGUAUUUUUAACGCUGUUUUGCCGCAAGUAAUGUGCUAGUACUGUGCUAGACACACAACACCAAACAAUAGGGAAGUAAGAAAUGUAGAACAAGUUUGCUAUAAAAGAAAGACUGUAGAACACGUAAAGGUAUGGUGGUGUGUCAGGCUUUUUCGUAUUAUGAAGAAUCUGCCACUGCCCCGGAACCAGAUUACUACGCCGUUGAUGAUGGAUACGAUCCGAAUAGAAUUGCUAUGCUGCAGCAUACAUCAAAGGGACGGAGCUGGCUCGGUAUAGCCUCGAGGCUUAUUUCGAAUUAUUUGGGCUAUGAGUAGGUGGCUCUUUGUGGAGAUAAAUAUUGAAGUAUAAUUUAGAAAAAAAGUAAAUAAAGUUAUGUACCGUUUUUGGUAAUGGCUAAAUAGAAAAUGUGAAA